CACGCAGGCGGCUUGUUAAGUCAGAUGUGAAAGCCCCGGGCUCAACCUGGGAACUGCAUUUGAAACUGACAAGCUAGAGUCUUGUAGAGGGGGUAGAAUUCCAGGUGUAGCGGUGAAAUGCGUAGAGAUCUGGAGGAAUACCGGUGGCGAAGGCGGCCCCCUGGACAGAGACUGACGCUCAGGUGCGAAAGCGUGGGGAGCAAACA
Molecule: ribosomal RNA, 206 nt
Filed under: uncultured bacterium
Lineage: Bacteria
Description: partial 16S ribosomal RNA
Rfam family: Bacterial small subunit ribosomal RNA
Source: RNAcentral